RNAcentral lists this ribosomal RNA (253 nucleotides) under uncultured bacterium. RNAcentral's name for it is "partial 16S ribosomal RNA". It matches the Rfam family "Bacterial small subunit ribosomal RNA", at positions 524 to 776 of the family's 1533-position model. The record is from RNAcentral.
UACGAAGGGAGCUAGCGUUGUUCGGAAUCACUGGGCGUAAAGCGCACGUAGGCGGAUUUGCCAGUCAGGGGUGAAAUCCCGGGGCUCAACCUCGGAACUGCCUUUGAUACAGCAAGUCUUGAGUUCGAGAGAGGUGGGUGGAAUUCCUAGUGUAGAGGUGAAAUUCGUAGAUAUUAGGAAGAACACCGGUGGCGAAGGCGGCCCACGGGCUCGACACUGACGCUGAGGCACGAAAGCGUGGGGAGCAAACAGG